GGGGAAUAUUGGGCAAUGGGGGAAACCCUGACCCAGCAACGCCGCGUGAGGGAAGAAGGUCUUCGGAUCGUAAACCUCUGUCCUUGGGGACGAAAAAAAUGACGGUACCCGAGGAGGAAGCCCCGGCUAACUACGUGCCAGCAGCCGCGGUAAUACGUAGGGGGCAAGCGUUGUCCGGAAUGAUUGGGCGUAAAGGGCGCGUAGGCGGCCUGUUAAGUCUGGAGUGAAAGUCCUGCUUUCAAGGUGGGAAUUGCUUUGGAAACUGGCGGGCUGGAGUGCAGGAGAGGUUAGCGGAAUUCCCGGUGUAGCGGUGAAAUGCGUAGAGAUCGGGAGGAACACCAGUGGCGAAGGCGGCUAACUGGACUGUAACUGACGCUGAGGCGCGAAAGUGUGGGGAGCAAAC
This 403-nucleotide ribosomal RNA is filed under the name uncultured bacterium. RNAcentral describes it as "bacterial SSU rRNA". It matches the Rfam family "Bacterial small subunit ribosomal RNA", at positions 356 to 773 of the family's 1533-position model. The record is from RNAcentral.